AUGCAUGUAGCUCAGUUGGCAGAGCAUUGGGCUAGUAUUCCAAAGGUUGUAGGUUCGAUUCCCACCGUGGACA
Molecule: transfer RNA, 73 nt
Filed under: Paramuricea clavata
Lineage: Eukaryota; Metazoa; Cnidaria; Anthozoa; Malacalcyonacea; Plexauridae
Rfam family: tRNA
About the family: Transfer RNA (tRNA) molecules are approximately 80 nucleotides in length. Their secondary structure includes four short double-helical elements and three loops (D, anti-codon, and T loops).
Source: Rfam by way of RNAcentral